This is a long non-coding RNA of Esox lucius (northern pike), 1284 nucleotides long. NCBI's taxonomy places the organism in Eukaryota, Metazoa, Chordata, Actinopteri, Esociformes, Esocidae. The record is from Ensembl.
UCGCGCGCGCACACACACACAAACACGAACACGUUACCACUAGCUGACCUAUAAAAACAGACAUGGGGCGAAAGGUUUUGAUUCCAACCCAGUAACAAUACCGCGAGGAUCCUCUGGAUGGCGCUGUCCAUAAGACUCACUGCAGCUCGGACAGCAGAUUCUCCGCCCCGUCACUCAACCGUGUACUGAACAGACCAGCAAUCUAUUCUAUACCGUCGCCGCAUGCAUCGUCAACCUGCGGAACAGAACGAACGUGGUCAGCAGUUGUGUGUAAAGUUCACCACGACGGUCUGGUAAUUCAGUCAACGGUCUGCCAAUUUGUUGGUAUGGCACCAUGGCGAAGUGCCGCGCUGGGCUGUUUUACAGUUGGACAGGUUUAACAGGCCCUGGGAUGCUCAUGAAGGACUCGGCAAGCUACCUCACCUGGCAACCGUGACGCCCCCGUCCCGCACAACCUUCCCAGGGGCACCUCCCAACACUCCUGUCAAAUAACCUACUCUGCAUCUCAGUGACGGAUGCCAAAAAUACAAUCGCUAACAGGAGAGGAGAGGGAAGAGUCCCAGUGACAACGCUGCGGUCUCGCAUCUUCAGCACGGCCUCCAAAACACGACCGGGUGGAGGAUCACUGGAUUCUGAGGCCUUGUAGCCAGUCAGGCGUGAUCCAGGCAGCAUGUUGAACGAAGCUCCGACACCCCCCCCACACACACUGUCACUGUGUUCUUCUACUCCAAAUACACAGCGCGCUGUCCAAGGUUAAGAAAGCAGGCCCUGUGUAUUUUGGCAGGUGGGAUAUAUUCUGAAAGAGCAACAAAUCGCCUAUAUUUAGAUGGAGGGAUUCAGCAGCCAGCGCUGUUUUCUCUCCUCGGUAUGAUAGAGGAGGGGAGGAAGAGGAGGAGGAAGAGGAGCAGGAGAGGUGGAGAGGAGAGGAGGAGGAAGAAAACUUGGAGAGGAGAGAAGAGAGUAUGACAGAUGGUGAUUCCUUCUCUCUCAUUUUGAUAACAUCAUCUUGGAACUGUUUGCAAAAGGACCGGAAACUAGAAUGUUUUAUUCAGGUUUCUUUUAUUUCAACUCCCAGAUCGGAGGGCUACUGAACACAGACUGCACAUGUUUUUUGACCUGCUUUUAAGCUCUCUUGUUCUCUUUGCGUGGUUUCAACUUUUAAGCACUGCAGUUAUGCCUGCUGUCUUAUACUACACAUAAUGCUUUCUUGGACAAACCCGGGAUAUUUCAAUGUGAUCUCUUUAGUUAAGUAUGAAUGUAUAAAUAUUUGCUCAGUCACCCCAG